This is a long non-coding RNA of Magnolia sinica, 567 nucleotides long. RefSeq lists it as uncharacterized. The record is from RefSeq and is a predicted model, not a curated record. NCBI's taxonomy places the organism in Eukaryota, Viridiplantae, Streptophyta, Magnoliopsida, Magnoliales, Magnoliaceae. The transcript is spliced from 2 exons.
UCCAAUCUGGUAAGCAGGUUAAAGGACUGAAGAGACUUUUGCAUCCAGACUCGUGAUGGGAUCUGAGUGUUAAGUCAUUCAAUAUUGGAUGGGUGAUUGGCUCUUAUGGAAUCAAAGUAUAAAAAAAAAAAAAACAAAGAAUUUGUUCAUUUCUCUUCGGUAACCCCUACCGUGAAUGGUUUAGGGUGUUCCUGAUUGUUUCACAGAAACAUGUUUCUGAAAAAAAUGAUGCUCACCUGAUGACCCAGCCCACCUGAUUUUCGCCACGUUGCAUACACGGUGGGCCACCUUAUGAACAAACUAGAUCUAGCACCUACAUGUCACAUUGGCAUUGCAGGAAGCGUAAAGCAAAGUGGCAACUUAUUUGGGUGAAGGAGCAGGGAAGCAUCUGUUUUAAAAUGAUAACAGGUAUAAACAAAUUGGAAGUGGAGGGGCAUGAGUCCAAAGUGCAAUUUGAAGUGGGAGUGGCACUUGAUUAGAAGGAUCAUGCAACUAUGUAGGGAGACUUUCAAAAUCCUACUCUUGAGAGGAGCAAUAGCAAAAACAUACCAUCCAUACACUGAAAAA